ACUUUCGUGCGUCUGAGCAGCGCAGUGAGAAAAAUAAAAAGAAAGAGAGUGUUUUAUUUCGGGGGAACGGUUUUUAUGAUUGAGGCAUCCCGGACACGAGUGAGUUGAAGUGCGUGGACUGGAAGAAAAACACCAUCUGUUGUUUGGACAGUGAAAAAAAGGGAAUUCCUCGGUUGGGUGUUGGUCUGGUCGCUGAGCAGUUUGGAUCAGUCUGCGAUCACACAGAUUUCGUAUUUCUCCGUGGGUGAGAAAUAUCUGCGUAGAGGAAUCGUGCAGGCCGCGGAAAUCGAGCAGGGGAGAACGAAGGCACGUGAAGGUGCAUGUGAGGUGACAGCUGGGUGAAUUUCUAAUGUGACGCAGCACGCCACAGAAUUUCAACAUCCUUCACUUCUUCAUUAGAUUUUCUGCUGGUAUUAAAAUGAGCUGUAUUGGUGGUCAUGGGCAG
Long non-coding RNA from Sinocyclocheilus grahami, 445 nucleotides. RefSeq lists it as uncharacterized. Lineage: Eukaryota; Metazoa; Chordata; Actinopteri; Cypriniformes; Cyprinidae. The transcript has 3 exons. The record is from RefSeq and is a predicted model, not a curated record.